This 468-nucleotide ribosomal RNA is filed under the name uncultured bacterium. Its description in RNAcentral is "partial 16S ribosomal RNA". It matches the Rfam family "Bacterial small subunit ribosomal RNA", at positions 28 to 507 of the family's 1533-position model. The record is from RNAcentral.
GACGAACGCUGGCGGCGUGCUUAACACAUGCAAGUCGAACGGAAAGGCCCUGCUUUUGUGGGGUGCUCGAGUGGCGAACGGGUGAGUAACACGUGAGUAACCUGCCCUUGACUUUGGGAUAACUUCAGGAAACUGGGGCUAAUACCGGAUAGGAGCUCCUGCUGCAUGGUGGGGGUUGGAAAGUUUCGGCGGUUGGGGAUGGACUCGCGGCUUAUCAGCUUGUUGGUGGGGUAGUGGCUUACCAAGGCUUUGACGGGUAGCCGGCCUGAGAGGGUGACCGGCCACAUUGGGACUAAGAUACGGCCCAGAGUCCUACGGGAGGCAGCAGUGGGGAAUAUUGCACAAUGGGCGGAAGCCUGAUGCAACAACGCCGCGUGCGGGAUGACGGCCUUCGGGUUGUAAACCGCUUUCGCCUGUGACGAAGCGUGAGUGACGGUAAUGGGUAAAGAAGCACCGGCUAACUACGUG